CUUCCUUCAUGCUUUUGUGGGGCCCUGGAUCUCAGGCCUGGGGAGGCUGGACUAACUUGCGUAUUAGCUGGCCUUCUCCCUCCCUUCCUCAUGGAGAAAAUCGGACAACAGGAUGGAUGAACUGAGUGCCCAGCUCAGCAGAACUCUGGGCAAACCUGCUACAGCCUGGAAGGGAGAGCCCUGGGUCCCCCUGAGUGGGCCAGGGAGGGCACAGGGGGCUGCUUAGGUUGGGGUCAGGCUGCAGAAGGCUGGGCUGUGUCUGUGAAGGUGGUUGGGGGAGGUGGGGGUGCAGUGAGCUCCCCACAGCGAGGGAAGGGCCCUGGGACCCCUUUCCUAGCUCACAGCAGGCAGUAGGGAGACAGGGUAGAGACCAGGGAAGCCCCUAGGCUGUCCCUCUGUCCCCCAGCCCUGCCAGCUGCGGGGCCUGGGCUUUGAUGCCUCAGACCCCCUCCCCGCUGGCUCUGAGCCUGCCCCCUCCUGUCCCUCUUGCCCUCUUCAUCUCUGGCUGCCAGCAGUUACAAGGCCCUGGGGACUGUCCUGUCCUCUGUGGGACCCAGAGCCUGCCUGGCAGGGGAGGGGGCUCUCCUGCCUUCUCCCCGGGACCAGGGUGCGCGCCAUGAUCUCAGACUCGUGUCCCAGCCCCCCUCCUCUGCUGCCAGGACUGCCCUGGGAGGCGGGAGCAAGGCAGGAUCCUUCUGGGGCUGCCCCUGUCCUAGCCCCCGCCUCCCCGGCGUCUGGCGGCGUUCCAGGGCCUUUGACGCGGGAGGGCGGGAGGCCGGGAGGCCAGGCCGGGGAUAAAGCUGGGUUGGGGGCGUGGCCACAGGACUCCAGGACUUGGAAGGAGGGUGAGGAAACAGGCACACAGUGACCGCCGAGGUCGCCUGACGCUGCCUGCCGCUGACCAGCCUGGGAUUUAUGGAGAGGGCCUCGGGGGGCAGCUCUCAAUACCGCCGCGCCCAGCAUCGCCGCCGCACCUGCUGCUGACGGGGCCCCCGCGCCUCUGGCCCCC
This is a non-coding RNA of Vicugna pacos (alpaca), 1009 nucleotides long. NCBI's taxonomy places the organism in Eukaryota, Metazoa, Chordata, Mammalia, Artiodactyla, Camelidae. The record is from RefSeq and is a predicted model, not a curated record.